RNAcentral lists this ribosomal RNA (279 nucleotides) under uncultured Glomeromycotina. RNAcentral describes it as "partial 25S large subunit ribosomal RNA". Lineage: Eukaryota; Fungi; Glomeromycota. The record is from RNAcentral.
UGAAAGGGAAACGAUUGAAGUCAGUCGUACCGACGAGAAAUCAACUUAUCGUGUGCGAACUUGUGGGCGUGCGUGAGUUUCGNCCUCGCUGUUUGCAUGUUUGUGCGUNUNGGGUGUNCUUUUUCGUAUGGUAGGCCAACGUCAGUUUCGAUUAUCAUAAAAUGACCGGCGGAAUGUAGCUUCGAUUUCGGUUGAAGUGUUAUAGCCUCUGGUAGAUGUGGUGAUUGAGACUGAGGAUUGCAACGAAUACCCUUUGGGCUAUCCGUCUGGCCUCUGAAA